CCCUUAGAUGUUCUGGGCCGCACGCGCGCUACACUGAUGCAUUCAACGAGUCUAAAACCUGCUCUGAUAGGGGUGGGUAAUCUUUUGAAUGUGCAUCGUGAUUGGGAUAGAUGAUUGCAAUUUUUCAUCUUCAACGAGGAAUGCCUAGUAAACGCAAGUCAUCAGCUUGCAUUGAUUACGUCCCUGCCCUUUGUACACACCACCCGUCGCUCCUACCGAUUGAAUGAUCCGAUGAAUAUCAUGGAUUGAGGAUGUAAGCAGGUUCGCCUGUCUUCAUCUUCGAGAAGUGAAGUAAAUCUUAUCAUUUAGAGGAAGGAGAAGUCGUAACA
RNAcentral lists this ribosomal RNA (329 nucleotides) under uncultured eukaryote. RNAcentral describes it as "partial 18S ribosomal RNA". It matches the Rfam family "Eukaryotic small subunit ribosomal RNA", at positions 1470 to 1796 of the family's 1831-position model. The record is from RNAcentral.